AAUUGUCAAAACCACAACAAGAAAUUGAAGUGGGAUUUGGAAAGUGGGAGUUGCAGGGGUGUUGUGUAACCUAUCUCCCCAGCUCUCCUGAAAAGCAAUAGCAAAGUCUCAUAUGUGAUGAAUGCUUUAUUGGUGUGAUAAAGUUAUCGCCAUAAAAAGUAGCAUAUGAGGAUUGGCUUUUAAACAAUAUAUAUUUUGGACAA
Molecule: unclassified non-coding RNA, 203 nt
Filed under: uncultured Amanita
Lineage: Eukaryota; Fungi; Basidiomycota; Agaricomycetes; Agaricales; Amanitaceae
Description: sequence contains ITS2
Source: RNAcentral